This 21-nucleotide non-coding RNA is filed under the name Arabidopsis thaliana (thale cress). Lineage: Eukaryota; Viridiplantae; Streptophyta; Magnoliopsida; Brassicales; Brassicaceae. The record is from RNAcentral.
UCAGUCUUCUUCAGAUUCCGC